AUUCGAAUAACUCGAAUAAUUCGAAUAUCAAACUAUAAUAAUUUACAUUAUUACCCCAAACUCUUAAACCUCUUCACUUUCCUCCCAAAACUUUUACCUCCUUCCCACUUCCCACUUCCCCAAACCCAUUCCCCCUCAUUUUUUUUAAUAUUUCUCUCCCAAAAUUUUAUUCCUCCCAUUUAUUCCCCUCCCCACUCCAAAAUUUUACUCCCUCAACCUCCAAAACUUUUUAUUUUCCCACUAAACUUUUACUUCUCAACCUUUACCCCCAAAUAAAAAAUUAAAAUCAUCCAAAAAAAAUUCCUAAACCUAAAUAAUAAUAAUUUUAUUUAUAUCUACUAUUUAUAUUAUUAAAUUAAAUUUCACAUUUUGUACUAUUUAUAUUAUUGAAUUGUUUUAUCAUAUUGAAUCUUUUAUAAAUUUUUGCUAAAAUUGAAUUAUUAAUGAUGCCAUAAAAUAUUCGUAUUAAUAUUUUAUGUUGGUAUCAAUUUCACAUUUUAUCUUUAAUAUAAUUUUUAUUAGAAAAUCAUAUUUUUUACAUUUAAUAUAUUUUUUAAUUUCAAAAUACAUAGUGCUAAGAAUCAGAAGAUAACUGAAGCAACUAAGCAAGCAAAGAAGUUAACCCGUGUAUAAAAGAUUAAUAAAUAAAUUAUAAGGGGAUCAAAGUUAAUAACAAAUUUGAUUAUGGUGGACAAAUUUGACUACGGUGGGUGGCAAUGAUUAUAAGGACCUAAAAUAUUUUUUAAAAUUUAACUCGAAUAAAUAUAUUUGAUAAAAUUUCAAAUCAAGUUAGGAUGAUAAAUUCGAGUUAGGAUGAUUUUUUGAGACUAUUUUUGAGUUAAUUGAGUCUCAAAAAUCAUCAUCAUAUACCAUGUUCAUCACAAAUUUUCAAGUCACCAAGACUUUUAUACAUUAAAGUAUACACUAACACACAUAUACAUGCCACAACCUUAGACUCAAAAUGAUCACAUAACUACCAAUUCAGUGGUAGUGUGAGCUUUGAAAUAAUCCAGCUUGAUGAGCUUCGAAACAAUCUACAAUGAAAAGGGAAAACAAACAAGGCAAACAAAGUAAGCAUAUAGGACACUUAGUAAGCUCAUAUGUAUAGUACAAGACUUACCUUAUCUUUUUGUAUAGAUAUUGUAAGCUAUCUUAACUUGGCAUAGUUUUGCUAGACAUGGCAAAUCAAAACAUCAAUAAGGUGAGCAUUAACUUAUAAUCAACCAUAUGAUGCCACAAUUACUUAACAUGCCAAUUCAUGUCACUUUAGAUAACUAACCUCAAAAACUCAUUUAAUUAAAGGUAAUACAAUCACAUACAUGUUAAAGGCAUUACUCCAAUCCAUUUUUCAUAUUUAGUUCAUUCAAUAUUUUUCCAUUUGAUCAUCAAGUUUAUUUCAUUUCAUCUCAUUUUAAUUUCACAUUUCAUAUAUUGUUUCGCCCAAUGAACCCUAGUAAAUAGACUCGGAUUCACAUGUAUCUACACCACACCAGUUGCUCAUUCGAGCUGAAAUUAUACAUAUCAAGUUACCUGUUCAGGCUAAACCUUUACAAUGACAUAUCAGGUUACUCAUUCAAGCUAAACUUGUGUCACAUAUAAUUGAGAAUCUAUAACAAAUGCUAGACCUCGAAAACAUCUAUAAUCAAUCCCGUACAAGUGUGCAUAAGACCCUAUUGGCAUGCCAAUCGUAUCCUGAUAUUUACUAAGCUCACACGGGCAUCCAUUACACAUAUUGAUUAUUCUGGGACUAAUCAAUAAUUUUAACUUUUCCUUAAUUACCUCUAUUUUGAUCCUAUUCUUGAUAUAUACAAUUAUUCCAUACAAUCCAUCAAUGCCAAACAUUUUCCCAAUAUGCCAUGACAUAAAUGAACCUAUGAAAUCUCAUUUUUUAUACCCCUAAAGUUUUAUAUUUUAUUCAAUUUAGUCCCUAAAUUCAAAAUAGCCGUAACUUUCAAUUUUUUAACCACAGUUUAAAAUUUGAAUUCAAAUACAUUCAUUAGGGACCCUUUAAAUUUUUAUUUAUACCAAAAUUUUACAAAAAUUGCAUAUUUUAUUCACUUUAGUCCCUAUUUACAAAACUAAUAAUUAAACUUUACAAUCUAGUCCUUUUUAUAAUCCAAGCUUAAAACCUAUCAAUUUCACACCAAUUUCUUCAAGAAACCAACAAAGGAAACUUAAAAGUUUUUUUUAAAAAUUGGUACAUGGGCUAGCUAAAUCAAGCUCUCAUGACCUAAAAAACAUAAAAAUUAUAAGAAAAAAAGCUAAGAUUUACCUACUAAUUGGUGACCAAAUGCAUAUAAGCUUCCAAGGGUUUUCUUUCUUUCAAUUUCGACAAGAUGAAGAAGAUGAAAUAAUGGUUUUUCAAGAUUUCCCACUAACUUAGUAUAUAUAGUUUAAUUAGGAUUUAAUUAAGCUAAAUUAAUUAACAAAAUCAUGGUUUAAUUAACUUAAACCUAUCUUAAUUAACAUUAGUGUAUUUCAUCAACAUCAUCCACUAUCUAACAUUUAAAUUGGCUAAUUGUUAUUUAAAUCCCUAAGCCUUUGACCAAUUAAAAACUUAUAGCGAUUGGACUUUUAUAAUUUAGCCCGUCUACCUAAAUUAACUAUUAAUUUGGAAAAAAAAUUCUAGACCAAACUUAAAUAUAUUUUUAUACAAACUUCGUAAAUAUUCAUAUUUAAUAUUUACAGACUCGAUUUAUAGAAAUAGGGUUUUGAAACUGCCUUUUCUGGCACCAUUGAAAAUUAGAUUAUUACACCAAACUUGAACUGCUAGUAACUACUCUUCAAGCCUUCAAUUUUAACUCAAUUGGUCUUCAUGGUUUGGGCUCUAACUCUAAAAAUAGAUAGUCUAAUGCUUUUGUUCUAAAAUUUUCCAACUCUGAAAAUAGACAAGUAAGAUAAUGAAACAAUGCCUUAAGUUGUGGUCACUAUUUCAGGCAUAGAAUUCACCUUGCCUUCAAAUAUGUCAAUAAUCUCCCCUUUUGGAAAUUUUUGAAUAAAACAUACAUAGGGAAAAUUAAAAUAAUCACAAUUACAUACUCCCCCCCUAAGGAUCUCCCCUUUCAUCAAACAAUCGCAACUACCUUAUCUCAAACCAUAACAAAAGUAAAAGCUUGUUAAUAUGAUCCAAAACAUGUAAGGGCAAGAGUACAAGAUUAUUGGAUUGAGUGAACCACCAUACUAGAUUGACGAGAAUUGUAUUUCUAAUUUUGAGGUGUUUAUUGCCCAAAAAGUUGUACUACUCACUCACUACUCCCAUUUUUUUGUUUAAUGAUUGCAAAAGGAUCACUAAAGUUGCCAAGACAAGAUAUCCAACUUCAUGGCCAAUAGCUUACUAUUGUAUGCUUUGAGGUCAUUGAUUUCCAUAUCAUUGGCAACACUCUCAUAAAAAAAGCAACUUGAGAAGCCUCUAUGUAAUAGCCUAAUCCGCCUAUCUGAUUGACAAACGAUGAUGUUAUCAAAAAACAAAAAUCAUUUUGGAUUGACAAAAACAUUGGUUUUAGAAAUUAAGACAAUUAAGAAAAUGUAAAUAAAACAAUCUUAAGAAUAAUGUUUAGUGGAGUAAUAUUUUUUAAAACAAAACCAAAAGAAAAUAAAUGUAUACGUUCUAAAAUAUCACUCGCGGGAUUAAAAGCAUUAAAGGAUAAAUCAAGGGAAAAUAAAAGUAAGUCUUGAUUUUCAUAAUAUAAAAGUUAGCAAAUUCGGCAAAGAGCCAACAUUCAUUAUAUAUAGACGGUUGUAUAAAAGAAGUUCAAAUUAACUUUUACAUAAUUCAACAUGAUAAACUUAAACCACAGGCCACCCCGACUCGAUAUACAUGUUACGACAGAACGAAGAUUGGCUCACAAAAGAGUCCGCUGGCUGGCUGAAUCCCUUCAAAAGUUUACUUUCUCAACAGAUCCUAAAAUGGUGAGGGAAAAACUAGGUAAGUUCUAACAAACUUAGUGAGUUCCAAAGAUAAACAAUAAACAUUCAAAUAACGUUUUCGAGAAGUGAAAUUUAGCUAGACUUUUACCACACUUAGUAAUACCAACAAUUCACACACAAAUAUGCCAAUAUAGUCGUGUACGAUCUAUUGGCGGAUUCAUAACACCACACAAUUUGGGUUCAUUGGUGGAUACUAUCCGCCACUAAAUGCAAAUAUUAGUAACUUAAAUUUUUAUGAGAAUAAUAGAUAUGUCAAAUCACAAACAUAGAAAAUUUCACACCACAAUCAAAGUUAGCUCACAUGCGAAUACUCUUCACUGUUAAGUACAAAUCACGCGGAUACUUUUCAUGGUUAAGCACAAUUCUUGUGGAUACUCAGUCAUUUAAGCACUAUUCACAUGCAUUAACCUUACGUAACACUUGCAUGCUUUGCAUGGAUUUUUUAUGAACCUCUUCCCUGUGUUAGCUUUUGAUCCACAUAUUACUCUAAAGAGCCAUGAUUUCAUAUUCAUGAUAAUGCUUUAUUGAGCCAGCGUUUCAUAUCCAACUGAACCUCUACAAAUUCUCCUUGUUAAUUCGAACACUUACGUGUUCCCCUGCAAAGUCGGGGCAUUCACUAAUCGCAGUUUGCAUUUACAUGUCGUACCAGAGGUAAAACUCAUUUCAUAUCAUAAUCUCCAUACAUUUCUCCCAUCACAUCUCAUCAAUUUCCACCAUUUUCCUCUUUCCACCAUUCUAGAUACAGAGCUUGUGCGCCAAGGAAGAGUGUAUAUUCACAACCAUUCAUUCAUAUACUAUAUACAAUUAUGCACAACUGAUUGUAAAUAAACUUACUUAUAUAGAAGUCAACAUUAACAAGACAUUAGUUGAGAUUUAAUAGGAACAUAAAUGAAAGGAACUCACCAAGGAUUACCAGGAAAUGCCUUGCCUAUUGUAUGGGUUCUUUCCCUUUUGGACUAGAGCAUUCUCUUGUUUCUUUAGCUAAAAUCAAACACUCUAUUAAGUACAUAAACGACUAAACUUUUAAUGGAAAAACAAUAAUAAAAAACAUGCAAACAUUAACCAGAAAGAAGUUUCCUUCCCUCUGACUUCCCAUAGAAACCUUUAUAAAUAGUUCCUACAACCCUAUCAUUCUCUAGUAUUAAUCUUAAAGAAGGAAUCGAGAGUUUACCAAUAGUUGGCUUGAAAAAGUCAGUUACUAAUCAAGCUAAAGGCACAUUCUCCAUACAACUAAGAAUACACAUUAGGUUUUUUCUAACAAAAAAAAGGAUGAACAGAGAAACGGGAAAUAAAGUCCUUUUCUGUUAAGCUUUCAUCCUAUUUAUAUAGGAAUUAGCUCGUAAUUCCACUAUAAUGGGUUACCUAAUCACUUUACAUGCACACACGAUUCCACUAAUCUCACACAGUUCCACUAAUCUCACAUAGUUCCACUAAUCAGACACAAUUCCACUAAUCAAACAUCAUUAACGAGGCUCUACAAGUGUCAUGCAAAAUGACACGUUUCCUACAUAUGACUUGACACAUUUCUUGUACGUGUCAUACCUAAAACACCCCUAACCCAAAUUAGAAUAGGGUUACAGAGCAUUACUUAAUAAAUAAAACCUUAUGACAUACAUUUCAUACAUUGAUAUACACAUAAUAUAAUUCAUUCAUUCAUGGACAUAUCGUCUCUAAAUCGAGCCCUCAAUGCCCUAAAAAUACUUUAGAAACAAUUCGAGACUAAAUUGGAAGCAUUUAAAAAGUUUAAGAAAAAGCUAAAAAAUUUGAACUGCAGGGAUCACACGGCCGAGACACACGCCCGUGUCUCAAGCUAUGUAACAAUUGAAAUAGGGACACACGGCCAUGUCCCAACCCAUGUUCUCACCCAUGUAACUUUUUGAGUUUGGUCGCAUGGCCAAGCCACAUACCCGUGUGCUAGGCCGUGUAACUCUCGAAAUAGCCACACACGCCUAUGUGCUAGGCCGUGUAAUAGCCAAACUUGCAUGUAUGAAAACCUAAAGGAGACAUAUGGCCGUGUUGCUUGGCCAUAUGUCACACACGACUGAGUCACACGCCAGUGCCUUAGGCCAUGUGGACAUGAAUUUUUCCCAAAACAUGCCAUUUCCAUCACCAAUUCAAGCAACCAUCUAAAGGCCUUUAGAACACUUCAUCAAAGCAUCAAAACAUGACCAAAUCAAUAGUUCAAUAUCAUUCAACCAAUAUUCCAUACAAGGCACCUCAAAACCAUUCAUCCACAACUUACCUAAACAUGCCAAAAACCUACCACAAAGUCAAGCAUCAUAUCACAUUACCUACUAAGCUUAAACACAUAACACAAUUGAAACACUCUUACUCCAUCACUUUGAACCAAAAAGGUUUUAUACAUAUACUACAUAUAAGUGUUCCAAAAGGGCUUAUCUAAAUAUGCAACAUAAAUCCAAAUACCAUUCAAUAACAUCAAGCAUAAACGUACCAAUUUCUAAUAUUUACAUAUUCACCAAAAUGUCAUAAUACUAAGGACCUCUCCUAAUACAUGCCAAUUUAACCAAAUACAACAAAAACCAAAAUGACUACUGAGAUAAUUAUGGUAGUGUGUGAGCUUCCAAGUUGAUCCAAUCAAAGCAACGAUUCCAAGAGUCCUACAAAAACAAAUUAAACUAAUAAGCAUAAAGGAGCUUAGUAAGUUCGAUAAUAAACUUAUUUGCUAUCAACUACCAAAUUUCCAAAUGAUGUUAAAUUUUAAUACACCGAAACUAAGCUUGCUAGGCACAAAGCCUGAAUAACACUGGCACCAAGCCUGCUAGUCAAAAGCCUGAAUAACGCCGACACCAAGCCUGCUAGGCACAAAGCUUGAAUAACAAUAUAAUUCAACAUUUAAACAUCAUUCAUAAUAGAAUUUAGAGAUUAAAUAAUUAACAUGGUAUUAAAUUCAACUAAAAAUAAACAUAUAACGAACUUACAGGACUAGAUUGUAGAAAUUGCAAAGCACAUGAACUACUCCGUAAUCUUUCCUUUUCCACGAUCUUCAACUUGUUCAUGAUCUAAAAUAAUAGUUUCAUUCAAUUGAGUAUUUCUAAAUAUCAAUUUAAUCCAUAAUUCAUUUUUAUACAAAAUUACCAUUUUGCCCAAAGUAUUUUAACUUUUCACAAUUUAGUCCUUAAUCUAACAAAUUGAAAUCUAAGCAUUUUAAUCUCCUAAUCAAGCUAACCGAAUUUACUAUGGACUUAUAUCAACCCAAAUAAACCAUUAUUUCAUAAAUUUAACAUUAAUUUUACCAUUUUUACAAAUAAAUCCCUAAAUGUAAAUUUCAUCCAAAACUCAAGAUUAAUUCAAGAAUAAUUCAAGAACAUUAAUGGAAUAACCCUCAAUCUUUAAUAGUUUUACAAAUUAAUCCUUGGGCUAGUUAGAUUAAGCUACAACGAUCCCGAAAAUAUAAAAAUCAUUAAAAAUCGGGCUUUAAUGCAUACCAUGCAAGAAGAAAUAGGAAACAAAGCUUUAUCCCCCUUCCUAUGGUGAUUUCGGCAUGGACAAGGUAAAAAGAAAAAGAUGAUAGUUUGAUUUCAUUCUUUUCUUAACUUAAUUUUCCUUUUAAUUACUAAAUUACUAUUUUAACCUUUAAAAACUUCCAAAACAACAAUAAUACCUUUCCAUGCACAUCCAUUCACUCAUACAUAUGGUCUAAUUACUAUUUAAGUCCAUUCAAUUUGAAGUUCAAAGCCAAUUGACCCUUUUUGUUAAUAGAACUCUACUUUUACAUUUUUUUAUGAUUUAGUCCUUUUUACUUAAUUGAUCAUGCAAACAUUAAAAUUUCUUGACAAAAUUUUGAUACGACCUUAAUAAUAUCCUAUAGAUAUUAAAAUAAUAAUAAACUAAUAAUUUACUCAUUAGAUUUGUGGUCUCAAAACCAUUGUUCCAAUUUUACUGAAAACGAGCCGUUACACUACAGAUUGUAGAUUCUAAAGUAAUAGAUCUAUGUGCCACAAUUGAACUCGCUAAUGGCGGGUUCACAACGGAAAAUCUUUCCAAAUGCGAAUUAAGGAUCCGCAAGAUGGCGAAAACUAGUGGAACGUUCCACAAGAGAAACUUCACCAAAUAAAACAAAUCAAUUCUUUGUGAAUUUGACUAGCUCAUACGUGAGUCAUCGCCAAGCUCACUCGAUCAACCGACCAAGAUGCAAAUAGGAAAUACUUGGGCAUGACAUUCUAAUCAACAACACCUGAUGUGCUUGAGGAACCAGGAAUUGUGCCAAAAUUUGUGCCAAUAGUUUCAAGCAUUAUUGUGUCUUCAAUAGGCAGAUCGAGUUUUUUGUUUUGAAACUUUGAAUUUUUGUGGAUUUUUUGGGGAAAUCUAAAUUGAGAAAGAGAAAGGGGAAAGGACAAGUUUCGUUUUAGAGUGAGAAGCAAGGUCACUGGAUGAUGUGGAGGUAGCAGCAUAAGAGUGGCAACUAGGGUUCAUGGUGGAAGAAAGAAGAAAAUAAAAAGAAAGAAGAGAGAUAAAAAAAAGGAAGGAAGGAAAAGAAAGAAAAGAAAAGAAAUGUUGUUUUUAAUGAUUUAAAUAUAUAUUAUUCUAUUGUAAAAAUGUAUAUGGUAAUAAAUUUAAAUAUAUAUAUUUUAUUUUUUAAUGAUUUUUACCUUCAAAAAAAUAUUCUUAUGUUUUUUCUUUCAUUGUGGCCCACUCUACCACAUGGCACUUUAUUAGUGGGCCACAUGUAAAUUUUUGACAAAAAUUAACAUUGUUAGGUUAGAGUAUCAAAAUGAUACACAAAAUAAAAUUUCAGGUAUCACAUUGAACAAAUUGAAAGUAGAGGUACCACAUUGAGAAUUUUGUUAAAGUACAUGGGGAUAUUUUACCAUUAUCCCCUUUUUCUUCUUUUUUUCAAAUAAUGUUUUUUUUAUUUUUCGAUUAUUUUGUCAUUUUUUGAUAUAUUUUAAAAUUAAAUGGUUAAAUAUUAAAGCCACAUACGUGCCAUCAUGUCAUUGGCUCGUUGCUUCUUUUUUAACAGUAGUUUAUUUUUGGACUAAAAACCGUAACAAUUUGAAAUUUUAGGUAUUUAAUUAGGCCAAAAAUAUUAGGUACCAAUGUGGGAAAAAUGAUAUACUUCAGGGGUCAAUUUAUGAACUAAGCCUAAUGAAAAUUAAGGGUUUUAAAUUAGGAACUAAAUGUUUAUUUAAAUUCAAUUUUUAAGGACUUAUUAAAUAAAGUGUAGAAAUUCAAGGAUUUUUUAGUAUGUUAACCCAUUCACGAGUUGUGUUUAAUCAUACGUACAAAGAUGUUGCAACAAUAGUUAGUAGUCAUUGCUAGGGGUGAGCAUUCGGUCAAAUUGAGUAGAAUUGAGUGAAAAAAUUGAUCGAGUUGAUGAGUCCUAUUUUAUCAUCCUAACUCGAUUUAAAAUUUUUUUGAAUCGAGUCGAGUGAAAUGAAAUUCAAGACGAAUCGAAUCGACUGAAAUUAUUCGAGUUAAAUAAAAAAAGUAAACAUGUCAAAUUAAAAUAUUGUUACAGUAUAACUAAUUCCAUGUUAGAGCACAUAAAUUUGAAACCAUAUAUAUUUGAAAGCUUUUUCAAAGCAAAAUAAGAAAAAAAAAAUUUAGUAUGAUAAACUUGAAUUAUUAAUUAACUUAUUCAGAUCCCCAAAUUAUUAUUUUAAUUUUUUUUAAAUUUUUAACUUUCUUUAUAUAUUCUUUAUAAUUUUAUUAAAAUUUAUUUUAAAAGUAUAAAAUUUGGAAUAUUUAUAAAUAUUUUAAAUUUUUAAAAAUUUUUAAUUUUUUUAAUUUUUGUUGAGAGUGAGACCAAUUUGCUCAAUUUCAAAAUUGACAGGGACCAAAAGGGUAUUUACACCAAUCUAAUUUCUGAAUUAUGCGAGUUAUUCGAAUUGUAAAAUUAAAUUCGACUCGAACUUGAAUUAGUUCGAGUUCACUUGUAAAAAUCGAAUAACUUGAAUAACUCAAUACAAUUAACUUAAAAUUCAAUUUUUCUUUUCGAUUUUUUCGAAUCGAAUCGAAUCGAGUUUUGCUCAGCCUUAGCUGUGGCUCAUGUUUUAUAAAUAAUAUGAAAUAAUAAUGAUUUAUUUAGAUGUUUGUUAAAUUUUUUUAUAUUUAUUCAAGGGUGUCUUAAUUUUUUAAUUAAAAAAUAAAAUAUAAAAUUUGCAUGUGGUUGUUUUUGAACUUAAGCUAUUUAUAUUAACUUGAUGUGUUUAAAUUUUAUUUUACUCACAAUUUAAUCUAAUUUCCUCAUUUUAAUCUUGUAUAUAUUUCAUGUAUUAUUAUUAAUUAGUUUCAAAUUAUACAUUUCGUUAUUAUUAAGCUAAACUUUAUUUGAUAAAUAUUUUGAUACAACAAAUAUAAUAUUUUUGAAUAAAACUUAAUAAAUUUCAAGUGACAAUUUGUUUCAAAAUAUUUCUAAGAGAAACUUUUAAAUUUAUCUUUCAAACAUUUAGAAAAUAUUUUCAACUUGUUCAAAAUGGUAAACAAUUUUUUCAAAAAUUUUUAUCAAGUGUGAAACUGCUCCCAGAGAUCAAAGAAUCAAUACCUUCUUUAUGGUAUCGAUACCCUAACCCAAGUAUCGGUACCCCUGCCUCGUAUCAGUACCAAUUUGAGCUUCGAAGUUCAAAAAAAUUGAGCAAAAAUCAAAAGUAUCGAUACACUUAACAGAGUAUCGAUACCUUAUCCUUGUAUCGAUACAUUUCCUAUUAUAUCGAUAUUAUAGGCUUAACUGUUACUGAUUUUAGGCGUCAAAUGCCCAAAGUAUCGAUACCCCUUCAAAUGUACCUUUUGUUGUAGGAGUUAUUAAUACUCUGGUUUUUACACCUCCAACGACUCAAUUCAUUUUCCCAACAACCCCAAUGAGUGGAAAUCAAUGAGAGGCUAUAAAUACCAACUUGCAAAGCUUCUACAACAACAAGAGAGAUUACAAGAGAUUAAGAGCUAUCAAGAAACAUCAAGAAAUUUAUUACCAUUUGUGCUUAAAUUUUUCAUCUUUUUCUUGUAAACACUUGUGAGCAUUCAUAGUAUUUUCUUAGCUCGGGUGUUUUUAUUGGGUGUGUGCUUCAUUUGCAAACAUUCUAAUCUUGUGAAGAUUGUUUUUUUGUUGGCUUAUUUGUUUGCUCUUUUGAGAGGGUUUGUGUUUUAAGAUUUAGGUAGAAAUCUUAAGGGAGUUCUAAGGUUAAGUCCUGUCCUCAAAGGUUCAUCAAAUUAGUGAAUUUGAGAAAAUUCUUAAUAGUGAAAAGCUAAGAUAGUAGAGUUGGUAAUUGGGGCUGAACCACUUUAAAAUUAUUGUGUUCAUUGUAUCAUUUUCUUAUUCUUGCUUUCACAAAAGUUUUAAAGGUCUAACUCACCCCCUCUUGGCUUUUUCGGUUGAUCGAUUGAGCUAACAACUAAAAUUUUGAUAUUUAUUCGAAGGUAUCUUAGUUUUUUAAUUAAUAAUAAAUUUGCAUGUGGUUGGAUUUGAACUUGUGCUAUUUAUAUUAACUUGAUGUGUUUAAAUUUUAUUUUACUCACAAUUUAAUCUAAUUUCCUCGUCUUAAUAUUAUAUAUAUUUCAUGUAUUAUUAUUAAUUAGUUUCAAAUCAUAUUACUUCUAUCUUAUAUUUAAAAGAUUAAAAAAUAUAUAAAAAUAUAAAAAUUAUAGAAAUAGUUGAAAAGAAGUGACGAUGCUUUUGCUUUUUCUUUCUGUAAUGAAAAAAAAAACUCGUUUUUUGAAAAUAUUAUAAUUUAUUGAAUUAUUUUUAAAACAAAAAAAAAUCAACAAUAAGUUUAAAUAUAUAAAUGAAUAUUCAUUUUGAAAAUCUAAAAAAAUUAUUGUUAUGAACCAAUUUAAAUAUCUAAAAUAUUUGUGUUAAAACUAAAUUAAAUUUAAGCGGUGAAUAUUCUUUAGCUCAUAUAUCUAUGCGCUAUAAAUUAAUAUCAAAUAAUAAAUUUAAUGUAUAAAUUCAUAAAAAUGUAAAUUAUUGUGUUAAAAAUUUAAUUCUUUAUUAUACAUUCAAUUAUUAUAUAUAUAAAAUGAUUGUGUUAGGCUUAGGCUUAAAUUUAUAAUUUAAUUUUUUAUACUUUUAUUUGAUCUAAUUUAUUCUCUAUUAUUAUAAGAUAAGAUAAUUAUUAGUUUUUCUUUGGCCACAUAUAAUGUAAUUAGUUAAGGGGUUUUUUUGUUGAUAGAUUGUUAGAGUGUAUUUGAUAAAUCAUUAAAAAAUUUCGACAUUUAGUUGUUUAGUUGUGUUUGAUAAUCAUAUUAACCUUUAGGUUUUCAACAAAAAAAAAUGUUGAAUAUGAUAAGUAAGAUAAUUAGUUACUUAUUACUUAAUAUUGAAAAUGUUAAUGAGAUUUUAUUUUUCAAAAUCUUAUUUUUGAAAUAAAUUAUUUCAUCAAUUUAUUAAAAAUUAAAAAUUACAAAUUCAAAUUAUUAUCUUUAAUUUUUAUAAAAAUAACUCAAAAUAAAAUCAUAUUAAUAAGAUUAAAAUUAUAAAAUAAUAAAUUUUCAAAAAUCAAGAUUUAUUAUUAUCAAACAAAAUAAUAAUAUUCAAGAAUUAAUUUUUACUAAUAUAUCAAACAUUUUUAUAAUAUAAAUUUAAUACUUAUAAAAUUCAGUAUUUACAGCAUUUAAUUUUUCAAUUGAUGAACUUCCUUAACGGUUUUGCAAGUUUGGUUUUUCUUAUGACUAGUUUAUAAACAACUCCGGCUUACAAACCUAGAAAGGGUUAAGACAGAAAUCUGUCCAAUGUGUUAAUACGAAACAAACGACAUUUUACAUGUUUUCAGAUCUAGAAAUUGAUUGUGCCAAAAGCAAUACAAUUUAUUUGAAUGGGUCAAAACAAAUCUAGGAAGUCAUGGGCAGCUAACAAGCUUGAAGUCCCUUGAUCAACACAGGGCUCCCGUAGAGUUUUGUAAAAAUUAUUAAAAUAUUAGCAAGUUGGGCGUAGUAUAACGCAAUUAGUAGCGGGAUUCCAUCUAGGUUUAGUAAUUUAGAUGAUCUCUCCAAGAAGUGUUUAAAUAGUAGGGUAGGAGAAUGUUAGUUUUAAUAUGAGUAAUUUAGGAUGAUAAUAUAGAGGUUUUAUAAGAUUAAAAUAAAAAUUUGACCAAAGGAAGCCUAUGGCUAUAUAUAGAAUGUAGUUUUUUUUUUAUUUAAAUAGAAUAAUAGAUUAUGUAGGUAUCUAAGCGAUAUAUCAGAUAUAGAUAUGGAUACAGAGAGAAUCUGAAACUUACAACCAAACAGCCAUGAACCCAAUCACAACUAUCCAACUCAGCAUUCUAACAUCUCAUAUUCCACUUCAUCUUAUCUUUCCUUCCACCACUAGUCCUUCCAUCCCCCGAAUCUAAAACUCAUCCUUCCCCUUCCCUUUCAAAUCCUCCUCCCCUCCUUCAUCACCACACACCACAACUACUAUACUCCCAAAAUGUCUCUUACAAUCCCCACUAACCUCUCCAAAUCCCUUUUGAAGCCAAAGAUAAACUCCCAACUCACCCCCAAAGUUUCACGAUCAUUGGUGGUAUGCUCCACCGACAAGACUUCAUCGCCACCAUCAUCAGCUUCACCACUCCAAGCCUUCUCAGCAGCUCUUGCUCUUUCUUCCAUUCUUCUCUCAGCCCCGCAGCCUGCCGUAGCUGAUAUUGCAGGCCUCACACCAUGCAAAGAGUCCAAGCAAUUCGCCAAACGUGAGAAGCAGCAGAUCAAGAAGCUGGAAUCGUCGUUGAAGCUAUACGCCCCUGACAGCGCUCCAGCUCUCGCUAUCAAAGCAACCAUCGAGAAAACCGAGAGACGGUUUGACAACUAUGGGAAGUACGGGCUGUUGUGUGGGUCUGAUGGGUUGCCUCAUUUGAUAGUGAGCGGUGAUCAGAGGCACUGGGGUGAGUUCAUCACGCCUGGUCUCUUGUUCUUGUACAUCGCUGGAUGGAUCGGGUGGGUUGGAAGGAGCUACCUCAUUGCUAUUAGCGAUGAUAAGAAGCCUGCCAUGAAGGAGAUCAUCAUUGACGUGCCUUUGGCUACCGGUCUUAUCUUUAGAGGCUUUAUUUGGCCUGUCGCUGCUUACAGAGAGCUUAUCAAUGGUGACCUUGUUGUCAAGGACGUUUAAUCUCCUCAGGUCCUUCUUCUCUUUCUCUUCAAAAAAAUUCCCCUUUUUUUUUGUUUUUUUUAUACAGUAAUUCAAGCAUGUUUUUGCCUUAUAGUGUAAGGGUUAACAUGUGUUGGCCAUAUUCCAUCUAAUUAUGUUGAACCUUACUAUUCUAAAGUAGUAAAUUAGUAAUCUGAAAUAGUGUCAUAAAACCUUGCAAUCUUAUAUUCCGAAUCCAAUUUUCCAACCCAAAAUUCGGUAUUUCAUUUAUUAAUCAUGUUAGCAACAAUUUUUUUAUUUAAAAAAUAUCACAUUAAACUUCAAUUAUUGAAUCAAAUAAUAGAUUCUUGAGAUUAAAAGUAGAAGUAGUAAUUUCAAAUGUGUAGAAGGUAAAGGGAUCGAGAGUAAAUUAUACCACCAUACAUCUAAGCUUAUAUGAUUAUAACUCGUCUUAUUGUCGUUGUAAUAUUCUAAAUUUUAAAAGGAAGGGUGAAAUUAAUGAAGAAAGGAAAUAGAAGAACAUACAAAUUGCCUUCAUUUUCUUGGUGUAUUAAUUUUGGUUUUUAUUUUUACAGGGAUCGAAUGGAAGGACUUGAACUCCAAGGAAUAGCUAGGGAAGAAGAUGGGAGUGCUUUUAGACUGAAUAUUCUUGGUGGGAAAUUUCUUGUACUUAAAAAAUGUUGUUUAAAAAAAACAUACUUUUGAGUCUUAUGUAAUGCUAAUGUUGAAACAUUUGUUAACUGAACGACUUUCCAUUUCAAUCUUUGUUAUCCAUAUUCAUGUGACAAUAUGUGUUAUAAAAGGGAAUCGUAGGAUACCAUGAAAUCUUGAAAAUAUUAAGGAGAGAGAGAAAUAGACGGUCAAAUUAAUCACAAUAAAAAGUUGUCAAAAAAUAAUUAUAGGUAAUGUGGAACCUAAUCUAUUUUGUGCUGGCAACCUUAUAGUCAUGCCCAAGAAAGAAAUGGUGAAGCACCGGCUGAAAAUGCCGAGCUUGGGUUUCCUUUUUAAAACUAUAUAUAUAAUAUUUGCAUGUCCUCUGGUUUAGAGACCUCUGUAUUGGACCAUCACUUCUGACUUAAACAUACCAUUUUCUCUGUUUGUAGUUCACUUUUCAUAGUGAUAUUGCACGACAUAUAAAACCAAUACGUUGGGUCGUGAUCAUUCUAGAAUCCACAAUUGUAAUUGUUUGAGACUGUUAUACCUAAUCACCUCACAGAGCCAACCGUUUUGGUUAAGAGAAGUUCGUUCAUGGAAAAGCUUGUUUGAUUAAAUAUUCGCUUUCAUUCUUCACAGGGGUCAUUGUCAGAUCGAGUACCAUAAGGAUCCAAUAAGAGGUCCUUCCUAUUACAUCUCAGUAAGGAUCUUCAUAACAUUACUACCAACUCCUUAAUCUAUGUGCAUUUCUCCUCUCUUGAAAUCCCUUCUAUUUUUGAUAUGUUCUUCUUGCUCCAUGUUUCCUUUGGUAAACAAAAGUGCUAGUUGAAUCUGAAAGAUACACUGUCCACAAAAUAUCUUUAAGGAAGUGUUAGUCACAUCUCAAGCAUCGCCCUCUUACUUUUAGCCUUUAAUUCCAACAGUUUGAUAGACUUCAACAGACAAAAUUAAGAUAUCACAUGUAUGAGAAAUGAUAAACCUUUUUGUUAACUCAAAUAAUCAAACUGACAUAGUCAAGAGGGGAUGAAUUGACCUUUUAAAAAAUAUGAUGGAAACAAUGAAAGAACAUGAAACAAUAAAUGCAACAAUUUAUAGUGGUUCAAUCCCAAUUGCCUACUCCACUACUUAACUUUUCACAUCUAAUGAUAUUCCCAAAUUCACUAAUUUGAUAACAUUUGAGGACAAGGUUUAACCUUACGAACUUCCUUAAGGUUUCUACCCAAACCUUAAGACACAAACCCUCUCAAAGAGAAAUAAAUAAGCAAACAAAGAAAUAAUUCUCACAAGAUUAGGAUGUUUGCCAAUCAAGCACAAAUACAAGGAAAACACUUGAGCUGAUAGAAAAUACAAUGAAUGCUCACAAGUGUUUACAAGAAGAAGAUAAAGAAUUAAAGCAUAAAGUGAUUGGUAAUAGAUUUUUGAUUUAUCUUGAAACACUUGAUCUAUUGUAAUCUCACUUCUUGUUGUAGGGCCUUUAAAAAUUGGUAUUUAUGUCCUCUAAUUGAUUUCCAACCGUUGUGGUUGUUAAGGAAUUGAAUAGAGCCGUUGGGGAUGGAAAUAUCAAAUCAUUAAAUUCACCUACAACAAAAGGUAUCGAUACUUUUUCUACAAGUAGAUAAUGUUAGCAUUUAAUGCCUGAUUCAAUGACCGUUAAAGUUAGUUUACAAUGAUACAAAAGACAUUUUAUUGAUACCUGGUAAAAGGUAUCUCAAUACUUUUUGUAAUUGUUUGAAAAAUUAUCAAGUAAGAAUGCAAAAACAGUAUCAAUAUCAAAGAUGGCAUCGAUAAAAAUAGAAUAGGUAUUGAUACUUUUUGAAAAGGUAUCGAUCCUUAUUGUGAUUGUUCAAUUUUUGUUUCAAGUCAAUAAGCAAGAUUGAUAUCGAACUUAAAAAAGGUAUCAAUGAAAAUUGUAUGGGUAUUGAUACUUUAUGAAAGGUAUUGAUACGUUUUGUAGGGAACAAAUUUUCAAUCGAUUUAAAAAUGUUUCAAUUGAGUUAAAAAAUUUUAAACCAUUUUUGAAAUUUUCCCAUAACUUUUUCUAAGUGUUCAACACAUUUUCUAAGAUGUUUGGAACUCUUGAAAUGACUUUUAUGCUUUGAACUUUAUAAUUUCUUUGUUCAAAAACAAAUUUUAUUAAAAAACAUUUUUGUUUGUUAUAUCAAAACAAUUUAUCAAAUAAAGCUAGUUUAACAAUCUCCCCUUUUUUGAUAUAACAAAACAUUUUGGUAAAUUUAUUUUUGAAUUUGCUACUCCCCAUUGUUAAAGUUCAAUUUGAAUCAAAGACUUGAUUUUAUAAUUUUGAAACAAUGACUUGAGUGUGAAAAACUGGUCACUUAGGUGUUGACAUUAAAAUAUUAAUCAUUAAAAAUUAGUCAACCAAAUACCAAUUAAAUUUACCUUUCUUUCUCCCCUUUUUUAUUAUAUAAAAAAAACCAACAAAUAAAUCUUAGAAGGAAAAGAAAGUGGUUAACCCAAAGAUAGAUAUUUGAAAGUAAAGACAAGUGAACUAACAUUUCCAAAUAAACUUUAAGGUAUAAAAUACCAAAUAAACAUUAAGGUGCAAUUGCAUAAAAAUAGGAAAAAAAAUAACUUAAAGGAUGCAAACAUUUUGGCCAUUUCUAAUGAUUUCAUACACCUAACUGUAUAGAAUAAAAAACAUGAUGUAUAUGAAUCAUAGAUUAUCAUAAAAUAUGCAAAAAUUGAAAAUUUACAUCAAAUAAAGUCUAAUUGAGCACAUUCAAAGGCAUUCAAAAAUUUGUAUACUAGACAAUAUUGGUCAAGAUAGAUUAACCAUGCAACCAUUAACUCCCCCUAACUAAUUGCAUAUGGAAGCCAUAUAAAUCAUGCAUAAAUACUUUUGCAAUCAAUAUUAAUUCGUAAAACAUUUUGAAAACAACAAAGUGCAAAAAUUUAUUUGAACACGAAAUCAAGGUAAGGUAGUAAUACUUAGUUCUCUCCUAAGUGUCCAAAAUCUUUCCUUGUCUAAAGGUUUUGUAAAAAUAUCAUCUAAUUGAUGUAAAGUGUCUACAUAUUCUAGAACUAUAUCUCUUUUUUGGACGUGAUCUCUAAUGAAAUGAUGUCUUAUUUCAAUUUGUUUAGUCCUACAAUGUCAGAUGAGAUUUUUAGUGAGACAAAUAGCACUAGUAUUGUCACACUUGAUAGGAAUUAUAUCUACACCAAUUUCAUAGUCCAUAUGUUGUUGUUUCAUCCAUAAAGCUUGAGCACAACAACUACUAACAAAGAUGUAUUUUUCUUUGGUGGUGGACAAUGUAACACUAUUUUGUUUCUUUAAAAAUCAUGAUAUAAACAUGUUGCCUAAGAUUGACAAGUACCAAAGGUGUUUUUCCUACCCAAUUUUCAACCUCCAGAAUCCGCAUCCAAGAAAGCAUGCAAGCUAAAGAAUGACUCUCUAAGAUACCAAUUUCUUAAAUUAGGAGUGUCUUUGAGGUACCUAAAAAUUCUCUUACCGGCUUGUAAAUGAGAUUCCUUAGGACAAGAUUGAUAUUAAGCACACAAACAAACACUAAACAUAAUGUCAGGUCUACUUGCGGAAAUAUAAAGCAAAGAACCAAUCAUUGACCUAUAUAAUUUUAUAUCUACAUAUUUACCUUAUUCAUCUUUGUCAAUCUUUGUAGAGGAGCACAUAGGUGUAGUUUGUGGUUUGAGAUUAUCCAUCCCAAACUUCAUGAGCAUUUCCCUUGUGUACUUAGCUUGACUGAUGAAGAUGUCAUCCUUCAUUUGCUUGAUUUAGAGUCCCAAAAAGAAUUUUAUUUCUCUCAUCAUGCUCAUAUCAAAUUCACCUUGCAUUAUAUUUGAAAAACUCUUCACAAAGAAAAUCAUUAGUAGCACCAAAGAUAAUGUCAUCAACAUAAAUUUGUACCACUAAUAAAUAUUUGUCUUUUCUUUUGAUAAAAAGUGUUAUGUCAACCUUCCCUUUACAAAAACCUUUUUUUAGUAAGAAAAUUUGAUAAUCUUUUAUUAAAGAAUCCAUUCUAGGAAGGAAGUUAAAAUCAUCAAAAACAACAUGUAUGGACUUUUCAACUAUUAAACUUCUUUAAUUAAAGACUCGAUAAAAUUUAGAAUUUAAGGAAUAACCAAGAAAAAUUCCUUCAUCACAUUUUGCAUCAAAUUUGCCAAAAUUAUCUUUUCCAUUAUGAUUAAAUACUAAAGUUACAUAUUUUAUGUAAUUAAUUUGGUAUAUUUAUGAGAAUGCACCACUAAUUUUGCCAUAUUUAUUGAAUUUUGUGCAUGAAUGUAAUUUGGGGCUAAAUAGAAGAAAAAGGAAACAAUUGGGCUGAAUUGAAGAAAGAAGCGAAAAAGGAGGGCCAAAGAAGAAUUUUUUCAAGAUUAAUUAGCUGAAAUUUUUGAGUUAGUGGGAGAAUAUUUUGGGAUUUAUUUUAUUUUGGGAUAUUUUUUCCUUAAUUUCCUAUGACUAGUUGGCUCCUAAUUUAGUAAAUCAACUAGUAUAAAUAGAGCUUGUAUUGUUCAUCAUUUCAUCAAUCAAAAAAAUAUUUUAGCUUUUGUCUUUCAAUUCUCUCCUUUCUCACGUAGCCUUUGUUAUUUCUUAGCUUGCUUUCCUUCAAUUUAUUAGUUCCAGUAGCCAAUCAUCCAUUUCACCUUUAUUUUCAACUUUUCACAAAUUUAUUUAUUGUUUUUAGUUUCUUUAACUUUCAAUUCCCAAAACUUCCAGCUUGUUACUAUUUAUCAUUUACAACUCCUUUUUCAAAUUCCCUUUUCAACCACCCCACUUUAAUAUAUUUCAACCUCCAUACUCAAUCACAUCACCCAUCUUUUCACCCAUAUACCCUAUUUAUCAAAUACCAACAUGUCCCAAACCUUAGCCAACUAAACUCAUUUUCAGCUUUAGGCCGAAAUUAACCUCGUCAAAACCCGUGAGUUACGAACCCGAGCCAUUUAACUCGUAAAAUUCCAGUACUUAUUACUUCUCCGGAUUAAGAGUAUGAUUUUGUCAGCUCAUAAAGUCAGAUCAACACUAAGUCAAAAAAGACGUCGUUUGAU
RNAcentral lists this long non-coding RNA (19615 nucleotides) under Gossypium barbadense (sea-island cotton). RNAcentral describes it as "long non-coding RNA (GBAR_LNC017296)". Lineage: Eukaryota; Viridiplantae; Streptophyta; Magnoliopsida; Malvales; Malvaceae. The record is from RNAcentral.